RNAcentral lists this long non-coding RNA (398 nucleotides) under Homo sapiens (human). RNAcentral describes it as "HSALNT0041557". Lineage: Eukaryota; Metazoa; Chordata; Mammalia; Primates; Hominidae. The record is from RNAcentral.
AUGAAUUUUAAGGCCCCCACACAAAAGACAAGUUCAAGUAUGCAGGUAUGAAAAGAGGUUAACAUUCCAAAAAUACAUUCAAAGCCUAUGUCGGGAGUCAUGGCUAUAUCCCCCAGGUGAUCCUCGGUUCCUAUGGGGUUUGUAAGUGUCCUGGUAUGAGUCAGGGUAAUCUUCUUCCACAAGAGGGUAAUGAUCUCGGCUAUGCUGAGAACUGGAAGACAAGCGGUUCCUACUCUUCCGAGCCCUUUCAUUGUGAUAAUUUUCAUCAGAGGUCAUUAGACUUCGUCUUUCAAUUGGAGAGUUCUCUGUGGAGUGGUUGCUGUGCCUCAUUCGCUGACUCUAAAAAUAUCAGAUAGUUCAUUGAUUAAAUAAUGUCAGCUUCAUUCAUCUAAACAUGU